This 425-nucleotide ribosomal RNA is filed under the name uncultured Lautropia sp. RNAcentral describes it as "bacterial SSU rRNA". It matches the Rfam family "Bacterial small subunit ribosomal RNA", at positions 354 to 771 of the family's 1533-position model. The record is from RNAcentral. Lineage: Bacteria; Pseudomonadati; Pseudomonadota; Betaproteobacteria; Burkholderiales; Burkholderiaceae.
GUGGGGAAUUUUGGACAAUGGGCGAAAGCCUGAUCCAGCAAUGCCGCGUGUGUGAUGAAGGCCUUCGGGUUGUAAAGCACUUUUGGCGGGAACGAAAAGGACUGUGCCAAUACCACGGUUCGAUGACGGUACCCGCAGAAUAAGCACCGGCUAACUACGUGCCAGCAGCCGCGGUAAUACGUAGGGUGCAAGCGUUAAUCGGAAUUACUGGGCGUAAAGAGUGCGCAGGCGGUUUUGCAAGACCGAUGUGAAAUCCCCGGGCUUAACCUGGGAACUGCAUUGGUGACUGCAAGGCUAGAGUGUGUCAGAGGGAGGUGGAAUUCCGCAUGUAGCAGUGAAAUGCGUAGAUAUGCGGAGGAACACCGAUGGCGAAGGCAGCCUCCUGGGAUAACACUGACGCUCAUGCACGAAAGCGUGGGGAGCAA